RNAcentral lists this unclassified non-coding RNA (161 nucleotides) under uncultured Sordariales. Its description in RNAcentral is "sequence contains ITS1". The record is from RNAcentral. Lineage: Eukaryota; Fungi; Ascomycota; Sordariomycetes; Sordariales.
CCGAGUUGCAAAACUCCCUAAACCAUUGUGAACCUACCUUACCGUUCCUUCGGCGGGCGGCGUCAAGCCCUAACCCGUCCCCCUUCCGGGGGGAUGGACCCGCCGGAGGCUCCUAAACUCUUAACUUUAGUUGGCAUCUCUGAGUAAAUCAAAAUAAGUCA